Molecule: ribosomal RNA, 197 nt
Filed under: uncultured bacterium
Lineage: Bacteria
Description: partial 16S ribosomal RNA
Rfam family: Bacterial small subunit ribosomal RNA
Source: RNAcentral
ACGCUCGACACCUACGGGAGGCAGCAGUGGGGAAUAUUGCACAAUGGGGGAAACCCUGAUGCAGCGACGCCGCGUGAGCGAAGAAGUAUUUCGGUAUGUAAAGCUCUAUCAGCAGGGAANAAACUGACGGUACCUGACUAAGAAGCACCGGCUAAAUACGUGCUAGCAGCCGCGGUAAUCUGAGCGGCUGGCAAGGC